This 205-nucleotide long non-coding RNA is filed under the name Lathyrus oleraceus (garden pea). RNAcentral describes it as "Pisum sativum (pea) long non-coding RNA (PSAT_LNC018639)". Lineage: Eukaryota; Viridiplantae; Streptophyta; Magnoliopsida; Fabales; Fabaceae. The record is from RNAcentral.
UAGACAUCACCGGAUGACUAGGAAAAACUCGACGUUUAUCGACACCAACGGAGAGGAGGAAUGGAGAUAAUGAACACAACCAAAUCAUCAACGGAUGAUCGGGAAAAACUCAACGUUUAUCGACACCAACGGAGAGGAGGAAUCUUCACUAGGGAAGGGAUAACGAUGUUACGAACAUCGAAAGAUGAUGUUUACAGACAUCAAA